This is a non-coding RNA of Pelobates cultripes (western spadefoot toad), 354 nucleotides long. NCBI's taxonomy places the organism in Eukaryota, Metazoa, Chordata, Amphibia, Anura, Pelobatidae. The record is from the annotation of a GenBank genome assembly.
GAUAAGUGCACCCCGUCAUCACGAAAGUAACCCGGUAAUCUCUCUUCCAAUUCCCGAUGCCUCACCACCACGCCUCCUAACCUUCGAAUGAACACCGCCAUGGUUCUGUUCACUUUACCCCGACAUCGAGAAACUGCCUUCUCAUCCCUGGCGUAUCUCCAGCAUAAACGAGGUACCAUCUCCGACCAUACCACUUUCACGCCAGGGAUAAGCCCCCUUAGUCUGUCAACGUCUUGCUUCAUACACUUAACCAGUUCACGUUGGGGGACCAGACCCAAGUCGUUUCCCCCCCCGUGAAUUACCACCACGUUCGGCAAGGGCUCCUCCGCUACCUUCCGAAACAAUACCGUAAUA